CGCCAACCCCAUCCCCACAAGUUUCUCUCUCUUCAUCUCAAUUUCACAUGAAUCAGCCCCAAUCUCUCUCUUCUUCGCAUAACGCAAUGGACAACCGUACACCAUCAACCAUUCGUGCAUAGCCAUGCACACCAUCGAACAUCGUUGGUCGUCACCCCUUCACUAGUCGUCGGUGCACUUCGUCACCGCAGAUCACCACAACUAGCAGUCGUCGUCGGUGGGUCUUCGUUCGCGCAUGUUUCGAGUCAAGUUGCCGAUCGAGUCUUCAAUUGGUGGGUCGCACCGCCGCUCGUCUUCUCGAUCACAGUCACCACGUCCGCCCAUAACCAUCGACGUCGCUGGAUUUUAUUGAGGUGUGGGUAGGUUUCUUUAUAAUUUUGAGAUUUGGAUGUUUAUGGAUGAGGUUUGGUGUGACCUAUUAAUUUAUAGCCUGAAAUUCUUGUCUUCGUCAUGUGCUCGGUGUAGAUUUUAGAGCGAUAGGGGAUUUGACUCACUGGCCAGCGGGCUUUUUGACACAUUUUUUUGUGAGUUUCUUUGAAGAUUUUGAUUACCCAUGGAAUUUUGGCAUUAGUUGGUUGUUAUCCAUUAAAUUUCAAUUUUUAGAUUGGAGUUCUGGGCGUUGAGCUACUGUCCAGCCAUAAUAAGUUCGAUUUUCGGUGUAUGUUUGGGAUUCCAAAGAACUUGGAAGAGAGAAGGUGGAGGCUUGGAGGCUAUAAAAAACCUCAUUACCCUAGAUGAGAUAUUUAUAUGCUCAUUUUCCUUUAUAUCCUUAGUGUUAA
Molecule: non-coding RNA, 779 nt
Organism: Benincasa hispida (wax gourd)
Lineage: Eukaryota; Viridiplantae; Streptophyta; Magnoliopsida; Cucurbitales; Cucurbitaceae
Source: RefSeq, a predicted model, not a curated record